UCAGUAUCAAAUGCACUGCCAUGGUUGAGCCCCGGGAUUUCACCUCUGACUUAUUAGGCCGCCUGCGCGCCCUUUAAACCCAAUAAUUCCGAAUAACGCUCGGAUCCUCCGUAUUACCGCGGCUGCUGGCACGGAGUUAGCCGAUGCUUAUUCUUCCAGUACAUUCACAUAGAUACACGUAUCU
Molecule: ribosomal RNA, 184 nt
Filed under: Sphingobacterium siyangense
Lineage: Bacteria; Pseudomonadati; Bacteroidota; Sphingobacteriia; Sphingobacteriales; Sphingobacteriaceae
Description: partial 16S rRNA
Source: RNAcentral